GAGUAACACGUAAGCAACCUGCCUAUCAGAGGGGAACAACAGUUAGAAAUGACUGCUAAUACCGCAUAUGCCUUAGAAUCACAUGGUUCAAAAGGGAAAGGAGCAAUCCGCUGAUAGAUGGGCUUGCGUCUGAUUAGCUAGUUGGUGGGGUAACGGCCUACCAAGGCGACGAUCAGUAGCCGAACUGAGAGGUUGAACGGCCACAUUGGGACUGAGAUACGGCCCAGACUCCUACGGGAGGCAGCAGUCGGGAAUAUUGCGCAAUGGAGGAAACUCUGACGCAGUGACGCCGCGUGCAGGAAGAAGGUUUUCGGAUUGUAAACCGCUUUAGACAGGGAAGAACAAAGACAGUACCUGUAGAAUAAGCUCCGGCUAACUACGUGCCAGCAGCCGCGGUAAUACGUAGGGAGCGAGCGUUAUCCGGAUUUAUUGGGUGUAAAGGGUGCGUAGACGGGAAGUCAAGUUAGUUGUGAAAUCCCUCGGCUUAACUGAGGAACUGCAACUAAAACUGAUUUUCUUGAGUACUGGAGAGGAAAGUGGAAUUCCUAGUGUAGCGGUGAAAUGCGUAGAUAUUAGGAGGAACACCGGUGGCGAAGGCGACUUU
This 604-nucleotide ribosomal RNA is filed under the name uncultured bacterium. RNAcentral describes it as "bacterial SSU rRNA". It matches the Rfam family "Bacterial small subunit ribosomal RNA", at positions 108 to 728 of the family's 1533-position model. The record is from RNAcentral.